Molecule: long non-coding RNA, 580 nt
Organism: Meriones unguiculatus (Mongolian gerbil)
Lineage: Eukaryota; Metazoa; Chordata; Mammalia; Rodentia; Muridae
Exons: 3
Source: RefSeq, a predicted model, not a curated record
ACUUUGAGGCUCUGAUUGCGUAAUCCUGCUCAGCCCAGGCAGGGGAACGAAAGUAGGAAACGAAAUGCAGUGACAUUCUCUACAAAAAGGAAGCCCACAUAUUGGUGCGAGGCCAUCCAAAAAUAGCAGGCUUCUCCAGGCUAGGACACAUAGACCAAACAACUAAAUCUCUGGCAAAGGCGCCCAAGGCUGAGAUCCUGCACCCUCCCUGGGUAUGGGCUGUUGGGGACGCCUCCCCAUCGGCCUCAGCCUCAGCACCAGGACCUGUGCUUAGACUGCUGCUGCCCAGCAUGUGACCAGUCACUGAACCACACCCCGGAGAGGCAGAAAGAGACAGCUGUCUCACCCUGUGUAUGAAGCCACCAAAAUCCAACUGUGACCUCAAGCAAGCCAGUCCCUCUCUUGGGACUCAGUUUCCUCCUAUGCAAAUGCCGAAGCGGGAGGCCAGAUGGCCACCUGGAGCCUUUCCAGCUCCCCUUUCGGAAGAAAAUAAAAAAGGCCUCUCCAGAGGAAGCAAUGAAAAUUCCAGAUCAGUUUCUGGCCUUCUGGUUCUCCAGCAGACUCAUACAGCCAUUCCACA